RNAcentral lists this ribosomal RNA (497 nucleotides) under uncultured bacterium. RNAcentral describes it as "partial 16S ribosomal RNA". It matches the Rfam family "Bacterial small subunit ribosomal RNA", at positions 28 to 507 of the family's 1533-position model. The record is from RNAcentral.
GAUGAACGCUGGCGGCGUGCCUAAUACAUGCAAGUCGAGCGAACAGAUAAGGAGCUUGCUCCUUUGACGUUAGCGGCGGACGGGUGAGUAACACGUGGGUAACCUACCUAUAAGACUGGAAUAACUACGGGAAACCGGGGCUAAUGCCGGAUAACCUUUAGAACCGCAUGGUUCUAAAGUGAAAGAUGGUUUUUCUAUCACUUAUAGAUGGACCCGCGCCGUAUUAGCUAGUUGGUAAGGUAACGGCUUACCAAGGCAACGAUACGUAGCCGACCUGAGAGGGUGAUCGGCCACACUGGAACUGAGACACGGUCCAGACUCCUACGGGAGGCAGCAGUAGGGAAUCUUCCGCAAUGGGCGAAAGCCUGACGGAGCAACGCCGCGUGAGUGAUGAAGGUCUUCGGAUCGUAAAACUCUGUUAUUAGGGAAGAACAAAUGUGUAAGUAACUGUGCACGUCUUGACGGUACCUAAUCAGAAAGCCACGGCUAACUACGUG